AGUGAACGCUGGCGGCAGGCCUAACACAUGCAAGUCGAACGAGUGGCGGACGGGUGAGGAAUACAUCGGAAUCUACUCUGUCUAGGGGGCAAACGUAGGGAACCUUACGCUAAUACCGCAUACGAUUGAAUGAGCCGUUGUCGGAGUAGCUAGUUGGCGGGGUAAAGGCACACCAAGGCGACGAUCCGUAGCUGGUCUGAGAGGAUGAUCAGCCACACUGGAACUGAGACACGGGCCAGACUCCUACGGGAGGCAGCAGUGGGGAAUAUUGGACAAUGGGCGCAAGCCUGAUCCAGCCAUCCCGCGUGGGUGAAGAAGGCCUUCGGGUUGUAAAGCCCUUUUGUUGGGAAAGCGGUACCCAAAGAAUAAGCACCGGCUAACUUCGUGCCAGCAGCCGCGGUAAUUC
RNAcentral lists this ribosomal RNA (406 nucleotides) under uncultured bacterium. RNAcentral's name for it is "partial 16S ribosomal RNA". It matches the Rfam family "Bacterial small subunit ribosomal RNA", at positions 29 to 526 of the family's 1533-position model. The record is from RNAcentral.